UAUAACAUAAUGCAAUACUUUAUUCCUUUGGUAGUAAAAAAAAAAAUAUUUGUUUGCAUAUUGCUCCUUGAUCCAGAAAACUAUCAUUUUAAUCAAAGCCUAAUGUGUCACAUUUAUUUUCAAUGAACCAGUUGUCUAAUUAAAUCUAUUCUAACUUAUAUCUUAUUUCUACCUGUAAAAGUAGCAGAGGGUGCACUCACAGAAAUGAUUCAUGGCAGAGUUAGUUUUUAUGCAUUUACAUCUAUUUGACUUUAUUUAAAAACUAAUAUUUUUAAAAUCUAUACAUUAAAAGUAAAUAUACUCUAAAAGAUUUAAUCAAUUAUACAAUUUAUUUAAUGCAUUUAGUUAAUAAAUACUAACAUUGUUUGAAUAAUAAGAGUUAUAAAACAAACAAGAUUCUGUUAUUUAAAGUUUAUGUGAUUGGUUUUCAUCAAAGUUAUGAAAAAAAUCAAUUUGGAAACAGGAAAUGACAUCAUUUUUGCUGGACACAAGCCCUCGGGAUAUUGUGGGAAUCCGUCACACACAUGUUGAAACGUAACUGGUGGUAUUUUCUUAGUUUUCCUCUCACCGUGUUCUCACCUCCACGUGGCAACAUAGAUUUUUAAUGAAGAUGUCAAUGUGAGGCGAGAUUGUGUGAUGAGCUGUCUGAGCAUCUACCUCAAUGAAGACCUGGAACCACUUGGUAAAGAAUAUGUGGUAUGUAUCAGAAUAGUGUGCCAGUAAUUUUUCCAUCUAGAUAAUAUGGAUUGUUCAUGAGAAUGGAAUGGACAUUAGGACACAUUGACCACCAGUAUUUCAACAUUGAGUCCAUUGGGUUGUUUUGAAUAAAAAAAAUCAUGCAAGGUAAAUGGUGGUAGAGCUGUCACUCUGAGGGAAUUAAAUCUGCUUGGUCCAGAGGAACCUGAAGAUGAAGUUGUCUGGGUUCUGGCACCCACAUGCCCCUUCUCCGCCAGAAACAACAAUCCUCGCCUAAACAACAAGGAUGCAUGUUCUGGACUGUCUGCUUACGAACUCAAGCGCCUUGAGAACAUCACGCACAAGGAAGCCUUCUUGUCGUCUCUGAAGAUAUGGCAAGUAUGUGGACAUUUUAGUAAAGGUAGUGGAAGAUCUGAGGCAGUCAGUGAAGCCAAAGCCCAAUGUCAAAAGGACAUUGAAUCCAGAGAGGCAGAGGAAGACAUGGCAGAAAAGACCAUGGGCAUCUACAAAGUACAAUCAAAGGAUCAUGGUCAAGGUGAUGGACGCUUCACUGAUGUCCGUGUUGUGCUGGAAGGUGUGGAGGUUCUCCACAACCUGUAGAGUGUCACUCAUGCAUGGGUUAUGUUAUAUGGCCUGAUCUACGCGCUCAAUUUGAACUACCCUAAAAGCCUGAAGUGUACAUUUGAGGUGUACCAGAAAAUCCUGAUGGACCUGGACUCAACCAAGCUUUCCCCGAAAGUACAGACACUGAAACUGAAAUUGCUCCAGUGGCUAAAAAUAACAACUUAUACAGCCCCUACCCAUUUUUUUUCACAUUGUGCUCCAACCCUGAGAUAUGUUAAAAUGAUUUCCUAGUUCUAUAAUGAUAUGUUAAUUAGCAACUGAAAAUGGAUCUCUGAGUACAGUUUUAUUUUUUAUUUAUUUAUUUUUUUGGGUGUCCAAGCAGUCAUGUGAUGUUCGAGUGUGGCUGUGUAAGUGGGUUCAUAUGGAUGGUUUCCUAAAUGUUGGCUGAUGUUAACUUGGCUCAAUCCAGAGUUUUGUAUAAAAGAUAAAUAUAAAUAAAUCUGGAAUUUUCCAGUUGGUCUAAUUCAAUGUGAUGCAUUUUUUGAUUUGGUUUAGUAUAUAAGCAUACAUUAAACAUGAUUCAAAUAAAUGUUAUUUAUAUUUUUUAGUUACCCCGAUUUAGUUCUCUUAAUUAUUAUGCAAUUUAUACAAUAAACUUUGUGUAUUUUAAAUAAAUACACUUUUUAUUAUUAAUUUAGAAUAAUUACACUUUACAUGAACUAAUUACGUAAACCUGAGGAUUAUGCAUUUAAAAUAAAUAGGUUUUAUUAUCCUUAUGAAAAUAAAUAGUAUAAAGUUUAUUUGGUAGAUUUGUGUUAAAAUUAUGAAAAAAAUAUAAAUGGUAAUUUGUCAUGUAAUAAAAUUACAUAAAUCUUAAUUUUUGGAUGAAAUAUUUCUGUGAGUGUGGUAGUAAAAAACAGCUUGAACUCGAAACACUGUAGAGAAAUCAAACUG
Danio rerio (zebrafish) is the source of this 2214-nucleotide long non-coding RNA. NCBI's taxonomy places the organism in Eukaryota, Metazoa, Chordata, Actinopteri, Cypriniformes, Danionidae. The record is from Ensembl.